Pelobates cultripes (western spadefoot toad) is the source of this 1277-nucleotide non-coding RNA. NCBI's taxonomy places the organism in Eukaryota, Metazoa, Chordata, Amphibia, Anura, Pelobatidae. The record is from the annotation of a GenBank genome assembly.
CCUGACUCCAUAUUAGGACAGGUUGGGACAACCCGGUUAUUGAAUGUUCGGUGAUCUGAGGGCACAUGAUCAGGUGAAAUUUAGAAAAAUUAAGAUAUUAGAUGCCACUAAUCAGGAGUCUCUAGUUCUGGUCUACUGUUUUUGUUUUUUUCUUUCUUUACUUAGUUACACAUUAAACCCUUUUCUAAUGAGGUUAGGAUAUGUUUGUUCAUUUGAACGAGGUCAAAUUCAUGGAACUGAAAUCGGCUAUACAGUUCCACGAACACCGCUGACCCUUACCUUCUCCUCCAUUCAGUUUUCAGCUACAGAGACUAAGUCCCGUUCAGCUGUUUGAACUCACUGUUAUACUGAGCCAAAUGCACGAACGGCCUAGUUUGUGCAUUCAAAUGGGACAUUUUUCUGUACAAAAUAGACCGAUCGCACAGCCCAAAUCUAUGGAACAGUUUUGGGCAGGAAAAUGUGCCUGCGGUUGGUCAUAAAGGACUUCCAGCUAACUUUUUAUAUACUAGAAGGAAUUGGCUGAAUAUUGGAUAUAUUUGUAAUUAAAGUGUGCUGAGUUAGAAUAUGUAAUUUUAUGAAGAAAAUUAUGAAGAUUGAAUGUAUAUUUUACAGUGUAUGUGUAAAAAGUAUAUUUUUCCUGCCUGUGAUAAUUACUUUAGCCCAUUGUGUUCCGUAAUUCUAUAACAGGCCGAGGGGAGGAUGUGUGUGUAAUUUCUGGCAGUGUUUUAUUGUAAUGUACGUAUGUUAUUGGUUGUUUUACAAAACCCUGUGGGUGGUCCUAUGCAGGGAAAACCUGCAUAAAAGAAAGCCCUGUGGUGCCAAGUAAAACAGUUCUUCUUCACUCUCAAUCUAGAGUCCUGUCUCUUAUUGGAGGAAUUGCUAUAUCACUACAAGGGAUUGCUAUGCUCUGCAUGCUCCCUUGGAUAAUCACUUCUAAGCUCUUUUAAGAGCUUGUUCCCGUCUUGCUCUUGGAAGGAAUUUACGGUGAUUAUCGUGUCGGCUGGAGUGCUUGGAGCCAUCAGGAAGUGCCAGGAGCAUCCUUCAACGGAGGUACCCAGUUGGGGUGCCAGGUGAUCCGUUACAGAUGUAAGCCAACUUCCGCUCACCUAAGCUCCCGCUAACUUACGAUGGCAACAAGAAGACACAGUGAUCAAGGGUCAUCACCUAGAGCCAGCGCAUUAGAUAUUGCACAAAGGAUGGAGAUUAGCGUCUGCUAACUCCAAUCAUGACAUGGAAACAUUGUUCAAUUUAAUAAAAUUAUAGUAUUUUCAUAGUGA